Molecule: ribosomal RNA, 447 nt
Filed under: uncultured bacterium
Lineage: Bacteria
Description: partial 16S ribosomal RNA
Rfam family: Bacterial small subunit ribosomal RNA
Source: RNAcentral
AGCGAACGCUGGCGGCAGGCUUAACACAUGCAAGUCGAACGGUCCUUCGGGAUAGUGGCGGACGGGUGAGUAACACGUGGGAACGUACCCUUAGGUUCGGAACAACACAGGGAAACUUGUGCUAAUACCGGAUAAGCCCUUCGGGGGAAAGAUUUAUCGCCUUUGGAGAGGCCCGCGUCUGAUUAGUUUGUUGGUGAGGUAAUGGCUCACCAAGGCUACGAUCAGUAGCUGGUCUGAGAGGAUGGCCUGCCACACUGGGACUGGGACACGGCCCAGACUCCUACGGGAGGCAGCAGUGGGGAAUCUUGCGCAAUGGGCGAAAGCCUGACGCAGCCAUGCCGCGUGGAUGAUGAAGGUCUUAGGAUUGUAAAAUCCUUUCACCGGGGACGAUAAUGACGGUACCCGGAGAAGAAGCCCCGGCUAACUUCGUGCCAGCCGCCGCCGUAA